RNAcentral lists this long non-coding RNA (686 nucleotides) under Equus caballus (horse). RNAcentral's name for it is "lncRNA (ENSECAG00000055295.1)". Lineage: Eukaryota; Metazoa; Chordata; Mammalia; Perissodactyla; Equidae. The record is from RNAcentral.
CGGUGAGGAAGGCCGGUCUCCACAUUCACCAGGGAUUAACAUCGGAGCAUUAAGCCAGACCCUGAAAAGACAUAAACCACGAGUUCAUGCGCGGGGCAGCGGCUAGUUUAAAGAAGAACUUUCCUGCGUGAAGAAUGAAAUAGUUCCUUCCCGACCCCGCCCCCCUCAACGACAUUUACUCCCGCAACUUGAAGAGCGGUUACUGGUCACUGAAGCCUGCCAGCUGCGGGAGAGUCCAAACCCAGACCUGCCGCCGCUCUCAGGGCAUGGAAGGCACAAGUGAGCGAAGGCUGUUCCGCUUCCUUUCCGUGCUCGUCUUCUAAAGAGGGCGAGUCAUCCCAGGCCCCCUCCUUCCUUCAACUUCUUUCUCUUCCAAAGCUCAAAGUGCGGCAGGAAAAGCAGCCCUGAGGGCACGCCUGGAGGAACCAGAGGAUGGAGCCCAGAGCAAUCAAGUUCACUGAAGAGUGAAGGGUGAAUCCUGGAAAGGACAGAGCCAGAGAAGAGGAACCCAACAUUCUUCCCAUAAACUCUGCCCAAGGCUCUGAUUCACGCCGGACCCGCACACGAGCAGGGUAAACUGCAGGUGUCCCAGCUAAAGAUGAAAAGAAACGGAACCCGGAGCAAUCGCCUGCUGCAGAUCUGACUCCACAGGCGAGGGAAACAAAACCAAAAUCAACAAGUGGGAC